AGGAUAAAUGGCCGCGGCUGGCAGGCCGAAAGGUGCCAGACGAGGAAAGUCCGGGCUUCACAGGGCAGGGAUGCCGGAUAACGUCCGGUGGAGGCGACUCCAAGGAAAGUGCAACAGAAAUGAACCGCCGGCUUCGGCCGGUAAGGGUGGAAGGGCAGUGUAAGAGACUACCGCCUUUCUGGCAACAGAGAGGGCAUAUGUAAACCCCAUCCGAAGCAAGACCGCAAAGAAGCGUAUGGCGGCCCGUCAGCUUCAGGUAGGUCGCUUGAGCCUGCCGGCAACGGCAGGCCUAGAUAGAUGGCCAUUCACGACAUAACCCGGCUUAUCGUCCUGCUUA
This 337-nucleotide RNase P RNA is filed under the name chicken gut metagenome. RNAcentral describes it as "Bacterial RNase P class A". It matches the Rfam family "Bacterial RNase P class A". Rfam says of the family: Ribonuclease P (RNase P) is a ubiquitous endoribonuclease, found in archaea, bacteria and eukarya as well as chloroplasts and mitochondria. The record is from RNAcentral.